This 945-nucleotide ribosomal RNA is filed under the name Ophiocordyceps sinensis. Its description in RNAcentral is "eukaryotic LSU rRNA". It matches the Rfam family "Eukaryotic large subunit ribosomal RNA", at positions 24 to 985 of the family's 3401-position model. Lineage: Eukaryota; Fungi; Ascomycota; Sordariomycetes; Hypocreales; Ophiocordycipitaceae. The record is from RNAcentral.
UUUAUACCGCCCCGGGAUCUAAGCAUAUCAAUAAGCGGAGGAAAAGAAACCAACAGGGAUUGCCCCAGUAACGGCGAGUGAAGCGGCAACAGCUCAAAUUUGAAAUCUGGCCCCCCCGCGGGCCCGAGUUGUAAUUUGCAGAGGAUGCUUUUGGCGCGGCGCCUUCCGAGUGCCCUGGAACGGGACGCCAUAGAGGGUGAGAGCCCCGUCUGGUCGGACGCCCAGCCUCUGUAAAGCUCCUUCGACGAGUCGAGUAGUUUGGGAAUGCUGCUCUAAACGGGAGGUAUAUGUCUUCUAAAGCUAAAUACUGGCCAGAGACCGAUAGCGCACAAGUAGAGUGAUCGAAAGAUGAAAAGCACUUUGAAAAGAGGGUUAAACAGUACGUGAAAUUGUUGAAAGGGAAGCGCUUGUGACCAGACUCGGGCGCGGCGAAUCACCCGGCGUUCUCGCCGGUGCACUUCGACGCGCCCGGGCCAGCAUCAGCUCGCCGCGGGGGACAAAGGCGCCGGGAACGUGGCUCCCCAGGGAGUGUUAUAGCCCGGCGCGCAACGCCCCGCGGCGGACUGAGGUUCGCGCGUCCGCAAGGAUGCUGGCGUAAUGGUCACCAGUGACCCGUCUUGAAACACGGACCAAGGAGUCGUCCUCGUAUGCGAGUGUUCGGGUGUCAAACCCCUACGCGCAAUGAAAGUGAACGCGGGUGAGAGCCUCGCGGCGCAUCAUCGACCGAUCCUGAUGUUCUCGGAUGGAUUUGAGUAGGAGCAUACGGGGCCGGACCCGAAAGAAGGUGAACUAUGCCUGUGUAGGGUGAAGCCAGAGGAAACUCUGGUGGAGGCUCGCAGCGGUUCUGACGUGCAAAUCGAUCGUCAAACAUGGGCAUGGGGGCGAAAGACUAAUCGAACCUUCUAGUAGCUGGUUUCCGCCGAAGUCUCCUUCCAAGAAAACCUU